CUCAGGGGAACACAAGGCCUCUGGAGGGGCUUCACACCAGCUUCCCUCACCCCUCUUUCCUGCUGAGAUCCCCAUCUUCUCAACCAUCCCCCAUACAGUUUUCUAAGAAAGCCAGAGGAGGAAAUUAUCAUGAAAAAGAGAAUUGAGGUGGACUUGUCUGCCGGGCCAUUUCCUUCCCACCUAAGCUCCUGCCAGAUGGCUCCCAGUUGCUGUGUUUGAGCCCAGGCUGACCACUUCCUAGGCAGUGGCGUUGGAGAUGGGUGUGGCCUUGCCUCCAGGAUCUCCUCACAGCUUGUGCUUCCUGACAGCUGUGGACACUUGGGCUGACUGCAGACCUCCCGCUACCCUGAUUUCCAGCAACCUCUCUAGCUUUUCUUUGGAAGGAGCAAGAAAAAAAUGAAGUACAAGAAACGGAAAGAACUAUUCCUUCCAGCCCAGAACACUGUCUCUGAACAGCAAGAUGGCUUUGAAACGCUUUCACAACGAAGCAAUACUUCCAAUUUGUUAAGCACAUGUGACUCAGCCACACCAUGGAACUCACUAGGAUUGAAGGUCUGCCUCAAGCAACUUAUUCCAGUUCUCUGGCUACGUUUGCUGUAUGCCCUAUACAUCUUAUUUCUACAGGAAUGGCAGUUUGGGGCAUUUGAAAAAGUUGAAGUUCCCUGUUGCAUGUCCUUGGUCCCCAAAUCCAAGGAUUGUAAUUGUCCCCAGACUGUAUUGCUUGCAGAAAGAUAGGACACAGUAUUUGAAACCAAUGGGCUAAAUUUUGCUAAAUAACAUCUUGUUUUAUUUAUUCACAAAUAAAAAUAAUUUUGAGAUACUCUAUAAAUAAUUUUAUUGGAAACAACGUUCCUUUUGGAAUUGAACUGAAAUAACCAUGUCAGAAGCCAACAAGCAGAUGGUAAACUUUCUGUUUCUGCUGACUUGGGCAGAUUUUCUUUAAAGCUGAAGAGGGGUUCCAUGCCCUAAAAUCUCAAUGCCUUCUUGUACCUUUCAACUGUAUCAGAUUUGGAUCAUUCGCUGAAGACCCACAUUUAUUUGUAGCCUACAUAAUCUCAGCGUUAUCACACUAUUUAAUUACAGUACAUGAUUGACACCAGGAAUGCUGAAAUAUAAACCUGAAAUUGUAGAAAAGUGUUAAAUUCUAGUGUUAACCCAGCAUAUUUCCUGUUUCAAGGUUUUGGGAGCCUGCAAGGUAUUUUUUUUUUCUGAAUAAUUCUAGAACCAUGUUUUGCUUAUUGAAGACACUAAAGGUCUGUCAGGUCAAUAUAUUUGUGGCUUCAGUUUUUGUAGUUCCUGGCAGACCUGAGGUAGUUCCUGACUUCUUCUAUGAUUUCUAUGUUAUCUUUUUUUCUUGUGUUAUCUUUUCCUCUCAGAGGUACUGCCCCUUCUCAAACCUCUACUUCCAUGAUUCAACAGCAUUUACUAAACAGUCAUUCUACACAGGCAUUUUGUUAGACACAUUCCCUUUUCCAAGUUAAGUCUAUAUACAUAUACAGUGACUGACUGUAUAUGGUAGGAAUAUUUGUCCUUUCUUUUUCAAAAGAUAAGAAAAACUCAAGUUUAUUAAAGGAGUAACACGCUUAAGGCCACAGAAAGUAAAUUGCAAAUUUAGAAUUUGAAUAUUAAGGCUUUGGAACCAAAACAUCUGGUCAUGAAUCCUAAAAGGAACAUUUGCUAGCAAAUUACUUACCUGAGUUUCCUAUUUAUUACAAGUGAACAUAAUUUCUACUUUAUAGGGUUGUAAGAACCAAAGAUAAUAUACAUAAAAUGCCUGGCACAGUGCCUGAGACAUAACAAAUGCUCAAUAGUGGUGGUGAUUGUUAAUUUAUAACACUCACAUUUUUGUUUUAAAUGCUUUUCAUUCAAUGUAACUUAGAGACAAGUGUUUAGGCCCUGGAGAUAGAGGUUUGGACAUGAAUCCCAUCUCCACCACUUACUAAUCAUUUAAUUUCUCAUUUAAUUUCAUUAUCUGAAAAAUGGGAAUAAUAAUAGUGGCUACUUUAUAGAGUUGUUGUGAGGAUUAAAUAAAAUAGUGCCAAUUAAAUUUUUUAAAGUGCUACUUCCCAGUAGGCACUUAAUAAAUACUAGCUAUUACUAUCCUACCUCAGUGCCAACCUGUUCUCAGAAAAGGAUCAGGCAAAUUCCUGUACCCUAAGAACUAAGUUAUUGAGAAGUCUUGCUAUAACAUUCCUCUCAGAUAAGUUAUUUGGCUCAAAGUUUUAACAUCUACUGGUGAAUUUUUCGGAAUCAACAGCACAAGCUGGGAAAACUCUGCAUCUGUUCGAUAUGUGUCCCAAAUGUCAAAUUUCAAAUUUUGUGAAAAAAUCCACCUCAGAGACACAAUUUGGUACUGAAUCCUUUAGUUUAGGUCUGGUCCACGGAAUGAUAGGCUCUCAGAUGGGAAAGAUCUUAGCAGUUUUCUGGUCUGGUCUUCUCACCAUCAAUUCCAGGUAAGCUGUUACACCCUCUCUGUGCAAAUUGAUUCACAGCUAGGGAACAAGCUUAGGUCCACUCCUCCCCUGUACUCUUCUCCACUGUUGAAAGGACUUCUUCCUCUUAUCCUGCACUCCUGAUUGACCUAUUGUCGGGGCAAUGCUGUAAUGCUCUGUGCCAUAUAUCUUGUGCUCAUGUUUAAGUUCAAUCUUUAACUUUUCCAGAAUCUAUGGCCUCUUAAAUAGAAUAUAAGCUCCCUGAGGACAUGGCUUAUGAAUUAAAUUACUUUGAACUAAUUAUUAAUAACAAAUCCUGUGUUCUGUGCUGUGCUAUGGGGGGUACAAAGAAGUUGGUAAUAAAUAAAUAAGUUGAUAAUAAAUAAAUAGGCCAGGUGUGGUGGCUCACACCUAUAAUCCCAGCACUUUGGGAAGCCAAGGUGGGAGGAUCGCUUGAGCUCAGGAGUUUGAGACCAGCCUGGGCGUCAGGUGAAACAUGGUGAAACCCUGUCUAUAGCAAAAAUACAAAAAUUAACCAAGCAUGGUGGCACAUGUCUGUGGUCUCAGCUACUCAGGAGGCUGAGGUAGGAGGAUCUCUUGAGCCUGGGAGGCAGAGUUUGCAGUGAGCUGAGAUGGCACCAGUGCACUCCAGCCUGGGUGACAGAAUGAGACUCUGUCUCAAAAAUAAGUAGAUAUAUAAAUAAAUAGUUGUAAAAUAAGAUUUUUAGCCCCCAAUCAACAACAGCAAAUCCAUUUCACCUCUCCUAUCAGUGCUGACCCUACUCUAAAGUGGUUUGUAUUCAGAAAAAUGGCAGUAUGUGGUAUACAUACCACGUACCAUUCUAGAAAGGAAAGGAGAAGUGGGCAUUGUCCCAGUCCUUGAAAGAUAGGUAGAAUUUUAAUAGAAAGACCCAUGAGUGACAAUGGCAGUUCACAUGCUUUGAGAAAAGGCAUUAAGUAUUCACAGUAGUGCAGAAUAUUACACCUUCACUAUGGUAGCUGUGCCAUCAAAGACAGUUGAAUUCAAUGCCUAUAGGAAGAGACUUCCCUCCAGGCUCAAAUUCCAAGACAAGUCCCAUGAGAGGGUGGCAUCAUUAAAACACCAAUUUUUUUUAGAUUGGCUCAGCUGGGUGUCAUCUGGCUGGGGUGCCAGGAUUCAAGUGAUCUGAUCAGGUUAUAUAAGGAAUUGGUCAAGUAGCUGAAUAUUAGAGGGAGGUCUCCAAGGGGACUUCAGUUUUUUUUAGGGAGUUAUGGAAGAUGACAGCCAUCAUCAGCAUUAAGCACUCCUUCUUACUUUUGCAGAAAGGUGCCUGGAUCCCCCUGGGAAAAGUGCUGUCUCCAGUUGUUCACAGUAUAUGCUAUUAUAUAAUUGUGUGGAUUAUUUCCCACUUACAUGUGUCUGGGUUUCUAUAGUAAGGGCAUAGUCAUGUUGGUGUUGAUUGGGCAAUAUAGCCAAGUGGUUAAAAGCAUGAUCCCUGCAUAUGAACAAUGGCUCUAUGACCACUAGCAAGUUACUUAAUCCUGCCAACCCUCAUUUUCCCCAUCGGUAAAAUUGGAAUGACAGUCAUGCUGAUUUUCUAGGGCUUAUGUGAGAAUCAAGUAAAAUAAACCACUUAAAUAUACCAGUCACUGUUUUAACCACUUUGCUUUUUUUCUUUUCUUUUCUUUUCUUUUUUUAUGAUGGUGUCUCAUUCUGUCACCCAGGCUGGAGUGCAGUGGUGCAAUCUCAGCUCACUGCAACCUCUGCCUUCCAGGUUCAAGCAAUUCUCUGCCUCAGCCUCCUGAGUAGCUGGGAUUACAGGCACUCGCCACCAUGCCUGGCUAAUUUUUGUAUUUUUAGUAGAGACGGGGUUUCACCAUCUUGGCUAGGCUAGUCUUGAACUCCUGACCUUGUGAUCCACCUGCCUUGGCCUCCCAAAGUGCUGGGAUUACAGGCGUGAGCCACUGCGCCCAGCCACCACUUCACGUUUAUUAAGUCACUUAAGUAACUUGACAAUCGUAAAAGGAGUUACUAUUAUUUUUUCAAUUUCAACAUGUGAGGAACUAAAGCAGCAAUCAAGUGAUUUCCCUGUUAUUAUUAUUCUAGACACAUUAAUGCAGUAUUUUCUCUGAGGGAGAAUUUCUUCCUGUGGAGCCACAGGAUUCUUCUAAAAAAAAGUUUGGCAGCUUCCAAGCCUCUCAACGUGAGAGCUUUCAAUGUUUGAGAUGAUGUGGGGUAGGGGUAGAAGGUUCCUCAUGAACCCAGCCAGGCUGACAAGAGGCUUAGGUAAGGUCAGUUUCAGCUUCUACACUAUUCUGUGGACCUGCACAUUCUUUGUUUUUUGUCUUUUUGGUUUUUUUUGAGACGGAGUCUUGCUCUGUCGCCCAGGCUGGAGUGCAGUGGCACAAUCUCGGCUCACUGCCACCACCACCUUCCAGGUUCAAGCGAUUCUCCCACCUCAGCCUCCCAAGUAGCUGGGAUUAUAGGUGCUUGCCACCACGCCCAGCUAAUUUUCGUGUUUUUAGUAGAGACGGGGUUUUGCCAUGUUGGCCAGGCUGGUCUCAAACUCCUGACCUCAGGUGGUCCGCCUGCCUCGGCCUCCCAAAGUGCUGGGAUUACAGGCAUGAGCCACCGCGCCUGGCCGACCUGCACAUUCUUUGUGUCCUAGGACUUAUCAUAUUUUAGGAAUCUAUGUGACUCAAUUAUUGGAAAGAAAUUGUGUGAUCAUAAUCUCAUGAGGUUUUAUUUUUUAGGAUUUGCUUUCUUUUUGAAAAGACAUACGUUUUAGAAAAUCACAUAUUUAUCAACUUCUAAGUGAAUUUGCUGACCCAUGAUAAUGUUAGGCCAGUAGUCUUUAUACAAAAUCUCAAAUACUUUCUCAUGCCUGACACAAACCUAGCAAUGCGCCAGGAUUUGGGACUGAAGAAAACCAAAACGACCUGCCUCGUUGUUGAGUUGUGCUUUUAAUUUUUGUGAAGUGACUUUCCUCAUCACUUCACAAAGCCUAACUUAUUCCUCAGGAUGACAAUCAGGACAUGACAGAACCAAGAAGGAAGGAAGCUAAGGACUCAUGCCAAUGUGUGUCACUGAAUAAGCUUGCGCCUCAUGUCUGCAGAGCAUGGGUCUCCCCAGACCACCUUCUCCUCCAUUUGGACAGAUCUUGACAUUCUGUAUUCAGCCCUCAUCUCAAAUUUACCAUGUACAAAGAAACAUCUGGAGAAUUUGUAAAACAUAGACUCCUGGGCUACAGAGAUUCUGAUUCAGUAGGUUUAGCACAAGGCCCAAGAAUUUGCACAUUUAACAUGCCCCCUCGAACCUUCCUUAAGAAUUGCUCAACUCUGCAAGGAGCAAGCUCAUUCUCACCACUGUCUGUUUGUCUUUACUUUCCCCCCACUGAUACACCUUCAUCAUUCCUCUUCACCCAUCUCAAUUCUAUCCAUUCUUGAAAAUCUUGUACCAACUCUGCCUCUGCCAUAAGCCUUCCGCAGCUACUCUGAUCUCUCUCUCUCCCUUUCUGUCUCUCCACCUUAAAAAGAAAUUAAACCUUUUGGAUCAUUCUCAAUCACAUGAUCUCAGACUCAGCCAUUCUCUGGUUUGUGGAAGGGGAGGGAGUGUGAUAUUGGACGGAUGAUUGAUUUGCCCAGAUCUUGAGGAAUGGGCACGUAUCUGUUUCCCAUCUCCAGUCGAAGUCAAGCUGACACCAGAUGCCACUGGGGGUUUCAGUUAUUC
This 6141-nucleotide long non-coding RNA is filed under the name Homo sapiens (human). Its description in RNAcentral is "HSALNT0381626". The record is from RNAcentral. Lineage: Eukaryota; Metazoa; Chordata; Mammalia; Primates; Hominidae.